RNAcentral lists this transfer RNA (73 nucleotides) under Candidatus Omnitrophota bacterium. RNAcentral describes it as "Candidatus Omnitrophica bacterium (sediment metagenome) tRNA-Thr". It matches the Rfam family "tRNA". Rfam says of the family: Transfer RNA (tRNA) molecules are approximately 80 nucleotides in length. The record is from RNAcentral. Lineage: Bacteria; Pseudomonadati; Candidatus Omnitrophota.
GCCGAUGUAGCUCAGUUGGUAGAGCACGGGUUUUGUAAACCUGUGGUCGGGGGUUCGAUUCCUCUCGUCGGCU